Molecule: transfer RNA, 69 nt
Filed under: Marmota marmota marmota (Alpine marmot)
Lineage: Eukaryota; Metazoa; Chordata; Mammalia; Rodentia; Sciuridae
Also listed under: 2 other names
Rfam family: tRNA
About the family: Transfer RNA (tRNA) molecules are approximately 80 nucleotides in length. Their secondary structure includes four short double-helical elements and three loops (D, anti-codon, and T loops).
Source: Rfam by way of RNAcentral
GGAGUUGUGGCCCAGUAGUAGAGCACUUGCCUAGCAUGCAUGAGGCACUGGGUUCGAUUCUCAGCACCA